RNAcentral lists this transfer RNA (78 nucleotides) under Arenimonas maotaiensis. Its description in RNAcentral is "tRNA-Gly". The record is from RNAcentral. Lineage: Bacteria; Pseudomonadati; Pseudomonadota; Gammaproteobacteria; Lysobacterales; Lysobacteraceae.
GCCUGGCAGGCGCUAGGCGCGCAGGCCGCUACCGUCGGCCUGAUCCUGGAGGCGUUCGUGCCGUUCGAGCGCGAGAUU